Lupinus angustifolius (narrow-leaved blue lupine) is the source of this 117-nucleotide non-coding RNA. Lineage: Eukaryota; Viridiplantae; Streptophyta; Magnoliopsida; Fabales; Fabaceae. The record is from Rfam.
UGGUGCGAUGAUAUCAGUACUAACACCGGAUCCCAUCAUAACUACGUAGCUAAGCAUGUUUGGGCGAGAGUAGUACUAGGAUGGAUGACCUCCUGAGAAGUCCACGUGUUGCACUUA